RNAcentral lists this transfer RNA (75 nucleotides) under Verrucomicrobiaceae bacterium. RNAcentral describes it as "tRNA-Thr". It matches the Rfam family "tRNA". Rfam says of the family: Transfer RNA (tRNA) molecules are approximately 80 nucleotides in length. Their secondary structure includes four short double-helical elements and three loops (D, anti-codon, and T loops). Lineage: Bacteria; Pseudomonadati; Verrucomicrobiota; Verrucomicrobiia; Verrucomicrobiales; Verrucomicrobiaceae. The record is from RNAcentral. RNAcentral also lists the same sequence under 1 other name.
GCCGGAUUAGCUCAGUGGUAGAGCAGUUGAUUUGUAAUCAUCAGGUCGCGAGUUCGACUCUCGCAUCCGGCUCCA